AGUGAACGCUGGCGGUAGGCCUAACACAUGCAAGUCGAACGGCAGCACAGUAAGAGCCUGCUCUUACGGGUGGCGAGUGGCGGACGGGUGAGGAAUACAUCGGAAUCUACUUUUUCGUGGGGGAUAACGUAGGGAAACUUACGCUAAUACCGCAUACGACCUACGGGUGAAAGCAGGGGAUCUUCGGACCUUGCGCGAGUGAAUGAGCCGAUGUCGGAUUAGCUAGUUGGCGGGGUAAAGGCCCACCAAGGCGACGAUCCGUAGCUGGUCUGAGAGGAUGAUCAGCCACACUGGAACUGAGACACGGUCCAGACUCCUACGGGAGGCAGCAGUGGGGAAUAUUGGACAAUGGGCGCAAGCCUGAUCCAGCCAUACCGCGUGUGUGAAGAAGGCCUUCGGGUUGUAAAGCCCUUUUGUUGGGAAAGAAAAGCAGCAGGUUAAUACCCCGCUGUGCUGACGGUACCCAAAGAAUAAGCACCGGCUAACUUCGUG
This 492-nucleotide ribosomal RNA is filed under the name uncultured bacterium. Its description in RNAcentral is "partial 16S ribosomal RNA". It matches the Rfam family "Bacterial small subunit ribosomal RNA", at positions 29 to 507 of the family's 1533-position model. The record is from RNAcentral.